This 447-nucleotide ribosomal RNA is filed under the name uncultured bacterium. RNAcentral describes it as "SSU rRNA". It matches the Rfam family "Bacterial small subunit ribosomal RNA", at positions 26 to 518 of the family's 1533-position model. The record is from RNAcentral.
AGAGCGAACGCUGGCGGCAGGCCUAACACAUGCAAGUCGAGCGGCCGUAGCAAUACGGCAGCGGCAGACGGGAGAGUAACACGUGGGAACGCGCCCUUCGGUUCGGAAUAACUCAGGGAAACUUGGGCUAAUACCGGAUACGCCCUUACGGGGAAAGAUUUAUUGCCGAAGGAACGGCCCGCGUCCGAUUAGCUUGUUGGUGAGGUAACGGCUCACCAAGGCGACGAUCGGUAGCUGGUCUGAGAGGAUGACCAGCCUCACUGGGACUGAGACACGGCCCAGACUCCUACGGGAGGCAGCAGUGGGGAAUAUUGGACAAUGGGCGCAAGCCUGAUCCAGCCAUGCCGCGUGGGUGAUGAAGGCCCUAGGGUUGUAAAGCCCUUUCGGCGGGGAAGAUAAUGACGGUACCGCAGAAGAAGCCCCGGCUAACUUCGCGCCAGCAGCCGC